This 301-nucleotide ribosomal RNA is filed under the name uncultured bacterium. RNAcentral describes it as "partial 16S ribosomal RNA". It matches the Rfam family "Bacterial small subunit ribosomal RNA", at positions 509 to 807 of the family's 1533-position model. The record is from RNAcentral.
CAGCAGCCACGGGAAUACGGAGGGGGCUAGCGUUGUUCGGAAUUACUGGGCGUAAAGCGCACGUAGGCGGCUUGGUAAGUUAGAGGUGAAAGCCCGGAGCUCAACUCCGGAAUUGCCUUUAAGACUGCCGAGCUAGUAGGUGAGAGAGGUAAGUGGAAUUCCGAGUGUAGAGGUGAAAUUCGUAGAUAUUCGGAAGAACACCAGUGGCGAAGGCGGCUUACUGGCUCAUUCUAGACGCUGAGGUGCGAAAGCGUGGGGAGCAAACAGGAUUAGAUACCCCUGUAGUCCCUGUCUCUUAUAC